RNAcentral lists this long non-coding RNA (1055 nucleotides) under Rattus norvegicus (Norway rat). Its description in RNAcentral is "long non-coding RNA NONRATT029681". The stretch from base 693 to 755 matches the Rfam family "tRNA". Lineage: Eukaryota; Metazoa; Chordata; Mammalia; Rodentia; Muridae. The record is from RNAcentral.
GCUGGGGCUGGCCCAGAAGGUUAUAACACUCAUGGACAGAGAAAGGAAUCACUGAGCUCCUGACCUUUGUGGGAUGUGGCCUGAGACAUCAAAACAGUCUGGGGCCAGAAGGCUGGAGAGGUAUAGGCAGCUAGACUUAGGAAAGCCAUCAGGGUUAGGUGUGGGACUUAGGACUUAAUUCGCUAGGAUGCAGCCCCACUCCCAGCUAGGAAGGAAAUAUACCAGGGCCCAGGGCCCUCUGGCCAAACUACCUAGAUAGUCCAACCACCUCUUUCCCCCAUGGAGUCCUCACCUUUUGAGCAGGGUUAGUCAGGGCGCACUCUCUUGCUCUGGAAUGGAUUUCUUUUAUUUAUUUAUUUUAGUUUUAUGUGUAUGAGUGGUUUUUCUUCAUGUAAGCUUACUGCUAUGCCAUUGGAGGCCAGAAGAGUGCACUGGAUCCUCCAGCUCUGAAUGAUAGAUGGUUACAAGCUAUCCUGUGGGUGCUUGGAACUGAGCACCCAGUGCUUCUAACUCUCCAGGCCCUGUAAUGGACUCAGGCAGCAUAAGCCAAUAGAAAAAGUUACAGCCAAAUAAAGCUAAUGUCAAAGACUAGGGGCUCGAGUCUCCCUGGCACCUGGGAUCUAACAAGACACCUGUCCUGAUGUUUCUUCCCUGCAAAAAAGUACAGCUUGAAAAAGCAUCAGCACGGGGUUGGGGAUUUGGCUCAGUGGUAGAGCGCUUGCCUAGCAAGCGCAAGGCCCUGAGUUCAGUCCCCAGCUCCGAAAAAAAGAAAAGAAAAAAAAAAAGAAAGAAAGAAAAAGCAUCAGCUCAUGUGGGAUUGUGUAGCAUCCAGGGCUAGCCCAGGGGAGCUGGUACGAUUCUGGCUUAGUGCGUUAAGACACUCCCCACCAGCCAAGCCUGAUAAACUGAGUUCCAUUCCUGGAAACCCGCAUGGAAGCAGAAGUGUGACUCUUACAGCUGUUCUUCACAUGUAUGUGUUGGUAUGCAUGCAUGAGUGUAUGUGCACACACAUUCCUACAUGAAUAAAUACAACUUUUAAAUUAAAAAAAAAAAAG